This is a long non-coding RNA of Vidua macroura (Pin-tailed whydah), 685 nucleotides long. RefSeq lists it as uncharacterized. The transcript has 3 exons. The record is from RefSeq and is a predicted model, not a curated record. Lineage: Eukaryota; Metazoa; Chordata; Aves; Passeriformes; Viduidae.
GGGGUUAAUAAACCGGCCAACCUGUAACGCUUCCAGUGGUGCCUGCAGAAUGGAAUUUGGUAACAAAGCCACUCAAGACUUCAUGGCCUUUACGUUUUUUCCAGAUUUGGGAAAAAAACCACAAAGUCUCACGAAAAAUAUGAUGAACAGCCUUGGAAAUUAUUUUUCCUGCCCGAAUGGCACAACAUCCCUGUUCCCACACUUUCAAAGGAAGUGCAGACCCUAGCUGUGUCUGGGAUGGAGCACUGUCACCUUAGAUGUCUAAGCUCUUCUUCAGGACCCUGCAAACUAAUUAACAUUUUAGUUUGAAGACAAAGGUGGCUCUUCUCUGCAGCUUCAUUAAUAGAAUUUGCCCUCUACUAACAAGAUUCAACUUGCAAAAUAUUCAUUAAUACUGCAAAAUACAGCACAAACAACAACAAAAAAAAAAAUCGAAGAAUUCACUAGAAGUUUCAUGCAAUAAAGAGAGGCUAACUGCUAGAUGAAAAAUAAAAAUCCCCCUCUCAACUCUGCUAUAACUACAAUGCCAGAGAUUAGAGCUAUGCAGAAAAGUUAAGUAAAAGCAAACCAGUAUGAUAAUUAAGCACAUCAAGAAGCAAUCACAGUUGCUCAUCAUGACACAAUUCACUGUAGCUACUUUCAAGAAUGUAAAAAUUUAGGUUUUAAUUUGGCUAACUAAAGAGAA